Molecule: ribosomal RNA, 403 nt
Filed under: uncultured bacterium
Lineage: Bacteria
Description: partial 16S ribosomal RNA
Rfam family: Bacterial small subunit ribosomal RNA
Source: RNAcentral
CUGGAACGCUGGCUGCUGGCCUAACACCUGCAAGUCGAGCGAGCGGCGGACGGGUGAGUAAUGUAUGGGGACUGCCCGAUAGAGGGGGAUAACUACUGGAAACGGUUGCUAAUACCACAUCCUAUCGGAUAACCCAUAUGGGAUUAGCUAGUAGGUGGGGUAAAGGCUCACCAAGGAGACGAUCUCUAGCUGGUCUGAGAGGAUGAUCAGCCACACUGGGACGGAGACACGGCCCAGACUCCUCCGGAGGCAGCAGUGGUGAAUAUUGCAAAAUGGGCGCAAGCCUGAUGCAGCCAUGCCGCGUGUAUGAAGAAGGCCUUAGGGUUGGAAAGUACUUUCAGCGGGUAGGCGUUACCCGCAGAAGAAGCACCGGCUAACUCCGUGCCAGCCGCCGCGGGAAUAC